RNAcentral lists this ribosomal RNA (253 nucleotides) under uncultured bacterium. RNAcentral describes it as "partial 16S ribosomal RNA". It matches the Rfam family "Bacterial small subunit ribosomal RNA", at positions 524 to 776 of the family's 1533-position model. RNAcentral also lists the same sequence under 2 other names. The record is from RNAcentral.
UACGUAGGGUGCGAGCGUUAAUCGGAAUUACUGGGCGUAAAGCGUGCGCAGGCUGUUUUGUAAGUCAGAUGUGAAAUCCCCGAGCUCAACUUGGGAACUGCGUUUGAAACUACAAGACUAGAAUAUGUCAGAGGGGGGUAGAAUUCCACGUGUAGCAGUGAAAUGCGUAGAGAUGUGGAGGAAUACCAAUGGCGAAGGCAGCCCCCUGGGAUAAUAUUGACGCUCAUGCACGAAAGCGUGGGGAGCAAACAGG